AGUGAACGCUGGCGGUAGGCCUAACACAUGCAAGUCGAACGGCAGCACAGUAAGAGCUUGCUCUUACGGGUGGCGAGUGGCGGACGGGUGAGGAAUACAUCGGAAUCUACUUUUUCGUGGGGGAUAACGUAGGGAAACUUACGCUAAUACCGCAUACGACCUACGGGUGAAAGCAGGGGAUCUUCGGACCUUGCGCGAUUGAAUGAGCCGAUGUCGGAUUAGCUAGUUGGCGGGGUAAAGGCCCACCAAGGCGACGAUCCGUAGCUGGUCUGAGAGGAUGACACGCCCCCCUGGACCUGGGACACGGUCCAGACCCCUCGGGGGGGCAGCGGUGGGGAUUAUUGGACAAUGGGCGCAGGCCUGAUCCACCCAUCCCGCGUGGGUGAGGAAGCCCUUCGGGUUGUAAAGCCCUUUUGUUGGGAAAGAAAAGCAGCAGGUUAAUACCCCGCUGUUCUGACGGUACCCAAAGAAUAAGCACCGGCUAACUUCGUG
RNAcentral lists this ribosomal RNA (492 nucleotides) under uncultured bacterium. RNAcentral's name for it is "partial 16S ribosomal RNA". It matches the Rfam family "Bacterial small subunit ribosomal RNA", at positions 29 to 507 of the family's 1533-position model. The record is from RNAcentral.